Molecule: long non-coding RNA, 517 nt
Organism: Carassius carassius (crucian carp)
Lineage: Eukaryota; Metazoa; Chordata; Actinopteri; Cypriniformes; Cyprinidae
Exons: 3
Source: RefSeq, a predicted model, not a curated record
ACUGUUUUCAAGGAUUAUAUAAACAAACGAACUCGUGAGGGAAAUUAAAUAGGCUUCGCAACUAACUUAAACACAAAGAUCACAAUUUCCCAGUGCCUAACAGUGUGCUAUUACAGAGGUUGCCACUUGAUGUCCAAUGUAAAAUCCGGAUCAUGACACAAAACCAACUGAGAUCCACUGCUAUAAAACCAACACACCGUCUGAGGAUAAUUUCAGAUUUCCACAGGCAAGUCGACCAUGACAAAACCAGAACAAAGUAAAAAGACAAUUCAGCCUGAAUGAUACCUGAGGUAACAAAGAAAAAUCAUGUCAUUUUGAGGGAAAGAGGUAGAGGGUCUGUAUACAGAGGGGCUGUAGCAGGAUUUGAUAUAGCAUGGUUAUGCUUGAAAUCGACUCUGAAGCACAGCCUGCUUGUGUCAAGCCACUGCACAAAGAUCAAUACUUGUUCAGUACAAACAUACAAAAUAAAAGCCUGUUCAUGGGCCAGCUUUUCUCAUGCCUUGAGGAUCUACAUUGA